GACGAACGCUGGCGGCGUGCUUAACACAUGCAAGUCGAACGAUGAAGCCGGAGCUUGCUCUGGUGAAUUAGUGGCGAACGGGUGAGCAACACGUGAGUAACCUGCCCUUGACUCUGGGAUAACUGCGGGAAACUGUAGCUAAUACCGGAUACGACCCUCGGAGGCAUCUCCUGGGGGUGGAAAGAAUUUCGGUCAAGGAUGGACUCGCGGCCUAUCAGCUAGUUGGUGAGGUAAAGGCUCACCAAGGCGACGACGGGUAGCCGGCCUGAGAGGGUGAACGGCCACACUGGGACUGAGACACGGCCCAGACUCCUACGGGAGGCAGCAGUGGGGAAUAUUGCACAAUGGGCGCAAGCCUGAUGCAGCAACGCCGCGUGAGGGAUGACGGCCUUCGGGUUGUAAACCUCUUUUAGCAGGGAAGAAGCGAAAGUGACGGUACCUGCAGAAAAAGCACCGGCUAACUACGUGCCAGCAGCCGCCGUAA
This 484-nucleotide ribosomal RNA is filed under the name uncultured bacterium. Its description in RNAcentral is "partial 16S ribosomal RNA". It matches the Rfam family "Bacterial small subunit ribosomal RNA", at positions 28 to 523 of the family's 1533-position model. The record is from RNAcentral.